GUACUCUCACACUCUCACUCUUUGGAGUGGAGCGGUGGACUUGGGUGUUGCUGCUUUACCGCGGCUCACCUCAAAUGGAGUAGUGCACCUCUCGGUUGGACAUAGUACGGCGUGAUAAGUGUCUUCGCCGGCGCCUCAUUAGAGGGUGGCCGAUCGGGAGCUCUGUGCUUCAAACCGUCCUCGGACAACAACUGACA
RNAcentral lists this unclassified non-coding RNA (197 nucleotides) under uncultured Sebacina. RNAcentral describes it as "sequence contains ITS2". The record is from RNAcentral. Lineage: Eukaryota; Fungi; Basidiomycota; Agaricomycetes; Sebacinales; Sebacinaceae.